Molecule: ribosomal RNA, 427 nt
Filed under: uncultured Oscillospiraceae bacterium
Lineage: Bacteria; Bacillati; Bacillota; Clostridia; Eubacteriales; Oscillospiraceae
Description: bacterial SSU rRNA
Rfam family: Bacterial small subunit ribosomal RNA
Source: RNAcentral
UGGGGAAUAUUGGGGCAAUGGGGCGAAAGCCUGACCCAGCAACGCCGCGUGAAGGAAGAAGGUCUUCGGAUUGUAAACUUCUUUUAUGAGGGACGAAGGACGUGACGGUACCUCAUGAAUAAGCCACGGCUAACUACGUGCCAGCAGCCGCGGUAAUACGUAGGUGGCAAGCGUUAUCCGGAUUUACUGGGUGUAAAGGGCGCGUAGGCGGGGAUGCAAGUCAGAUGUGAAAUCUAUGGGCUCAACUCAUAGCUUGCAUUUGAAACUGUGGAUCUUGAGUGUCGGAGAGGUAAAUGGAAUUCCCGGUGUAGAGGUGAAAUUCGUAGAUAUCGGGAGGAACACCAGUGGCGAAGGCGGUUUACUGGACGAUUACUGACGCUGAGACACGAAAGUGUGGGGAGCAAACAGGAUUAGAUACCCUGGUAGU